CGGCGUAGCUCAGCGGUAGAGCAAUGCACUCGUAAUGCAUAGGUCGUCGGUUCAAAUCCGACCGUCG
This 67-nucleotide transfer RNA is filed under the name marine eukaryotic metagenome. It matches the Rfam family "tRNA". From Rfam's summary of the family: Transfer RNA (tRNA) molecules are approximately 80 nucleotides in length. The record is from RNAcentral.